RNAcentral lists this ribosomal RNA (370 nucleotides) under Bacillus velezensis. RNAcentral's name for it is "bacterial SSU rRNA". It matches the Rfam family "Bacterial small subunit ribosomal RNA", at positions 1000 to 1371 of the family's 1533-position model. The record is from RNAcentral. Lineage: Bacteria; Bacillati; Bacillota; Bacilli; Caryophanales; Bacillaceae.
CUAGAGAUAGGACGUACCCUUCGGGGGCAGAGUGACAGGUGGUGCAUGGUUGUCGUCAGCUCGUGUCGUGAGAUGUUGGGUUAAGUCCCGCAACGAGCGCAACCCUUGAUCUUAGUUGCCAGCAUUCAGUUGGGCACUCUAAGGUGACUGCCGGUGACAAACCGGAGGAAGGUGGGGAUGACGUCAAAUCAUCAUGCCCCUUAUGACCUGGGCUACACACGUGCUACAAUGGACAGAACAAAGGGCAGCGAAACCGCGAGGUUAAGCCAAUCCCACAAAUCUGUUCUCAGUUCGGAUCGCAGUCUGCAACUCGACUGCGUGAAGCUGGAAUCGCUAGUAAUCGCGGAUCAGCAUGCCGCGGUGAAUACGU